UACUAUGACCAUAGCAAGAGAGGUGAACCAUCUGAUCCCUUCCCGAACUCAGAAGUGAAACCUCUUAGCGCUGAUGGUAGUGUGGGAUUACCCAUGUGAGAGUAAGUCAUCGCCAGCU
This 118-nucleotide ribosomal RNA is filed under the name Acinetobacter baumannii. Lineage: Bacteria; Pseudomonadati; Pseudomonadota; Gammaproteobacteria; Moraxellales; Moraxellaceae. The record is from RNAcentral.